Molecule: ribosomal RNA, 396 nt
Filed under: uncultured bacterium
Lineage: Bacteria
Description: partial 16S ribosomal RNA
Rfam family: Bacterial small subunit ribosomal RNA
Source: RNAcentral
AUACAGAGGGUGCAAGCGUUAAUCGGAUUUACUGGGCGUAAAGCGCGCGUAGGUGGCUAAUUAAGUCAAAUGUGAAAUCCCCGAGCUUAACUUGGGAAUUGCAUUCGAUACUGGUUAGCUAGAGUAUGGGAGAGGAUGGUAGAAUUCCAGGUGUAGCGGUGAAAUGCGUAGAGAUCUGGAGGAAUACCGAUGGCGAAGGCAGCCAUUUGGCCUAAACCUGACCCUGUGGUGCGAAAGCAUGGGGAGCAAACGGGAUUAGAUCCCCUGGUAGUCCAUGCCGUAAACGAUGUCUACUAGCCGUUGGGGCCCUUGAGGUUUUAGUGGCGCAGCUAACGCGAUAAGUAGACCGCCUGGGGAGUACGGUCGCAAGACUAAAACUCAAAUGAAUUGACGGGG